Molecule: long non-coding RNA, 599 nt
Organism: Thunnus maccoyii (southern bluefin tuna)
Lineage: Eukaryota; Metazoa; Chordata; Actinopteri; Scombriformes; Scombridae
Exons: 3
Source: RefSeq, a predicted model, not a curated record
AUUUUACUGUUUUGGUUCCCUCUCUACAAAAUCGUUUGCAGCCACAUCAGGGAUCUGUUUCCAAUGUGGGGGAAAAAAGCACUGAUAAACUCACAGAGCUAUCUGCCCAGCACCUUUGGCAGACAGACAGUCAGCAACUAGCUGGUGUGUAUAGUGGAGCAUUAAGCAUCUAAAGAGCCACUUAUUUCCCCCAGGAAUUGGUGAAGACCAACACAGUGCUACAAGAAGAGUGAAUAUUGGACUUACAUUCCUCAGAACUUGGACAAAAAUGACCUCCACCAAGGAAAAGUGCAAUGGAAUGAUCAUUCAAGUCGGAAUUCCAAGUCGGAAACUUGGGCAAGAUCCAUCUAGCCUGAGUUCGCCAACAGAAACAAACCUGACGUCACACAUGCUAAUGUGUUAAGUCAGCUGCUGUAGUGUUGGGUUGGAAUGAAACCCUGCAUCUACGUGGCCCUCGAAACACCAGUUUGCAGUGGGCGUCCAUGUUUUCCCGAGCAGAUGAGACUGGGAUGCAUAGAUUGGAAGUUGAGAAUACCGACUUGGAACUAUCGACUUCCACCUUGCAAUGGAUUGCAGCAUCAAUCCAUGAAAAAGCACAC